RNAcentral lists this long non-coding RNA (4878 nucleotides) under Bemisia tabaci. RNAcentral's name for it is "lncRNA ENSASIAIIG000839". Lineage: Eukaryota; Metazoa; Arthropoda; Insecta; Hemiptera; Aleyrodidae. The record is from RNAcentral.
AUGGCCCCGAAAGAAGAACCUAUUGCCAGUGUCAAGUUCCUAGAUGACAAGGAUGGCAAGUGUACAUUUGUGCCGCUUUCUUUCAUUAAGAACUUCAAAUCCGACAGUUUUAAGCCGAACACAAAUUACAAAGUUUUCUGGAGUCCAAAUGAGGAUGAGAAACCAGAAGAUGUUCAGAGAAACCAGGGAAUCAUAUUGGACCUGGAUGAUGAAAUCGAAGCUCGACACCCAAGGCGAGAAACACCCAUUCUGGCUGGCUAUUAUAAUGCCACUGUGCUAAAGAUUGCAGAUUCUAAGGAGGCUUCCGAAUCAUUGAAGACAAAGCGAGUCUCUGUUCCGACGAGGAGGGUUCUCGAGGGGCAACAACUGAAGAAGGAUAGCAAACGAAAGCCGAAGAAAGACUCCUCAUAUGUCUCUAAGGUAAUUCCUACCAUUCCUGCUUUUAGCUUCACUAAGCAAAUGGGUCCACAAAAGCUUUCUUCAUUCAAAGCAAAUACGAUCUGUUCUAGAAGGAAUGAAAAAUCUCAAAUGACUUGGAGCUAUUCAUAUUUUAUUGAUGAACCCCUCAGUGACAGGAUGGAAUCAGAUUUUCCCAAAAUUUGAUUUCAGUAAGCUAGCAUAAGUAUCUUAGCUACUUAGAUUUUGUGUUGAGAUUAUUUUCUUACUGCUUCCUUAACAUUACCUCUGAAUGGACAUGAAAAAAUGACCCUCCCAGUUAUGUACCUGAUGCUACACUUCAGCUCAUUCUUUAAUUUUGAAUUAUCUCACUUCUACAGGAAAAAAGAAAGAAAAUUGUUGCCAAAACGGAUGCGCUUAUGGCCACCAAAAUGGAGGAAAAGAGGAAAAGGAAAAAGGAAUCUUCAACAUCAUCAUCAUCAGGGUCAGGCUCCGAUGAUGAACUCCUGACCAGGAAAAAAUUCAAGGAAGAAUUGCAAAAAGUAAUGCUAAUUAACGAUAGUUUGAAGAGAGAGAAUAAAAGGCUGACUGAGAGAAACAUCGGACUGGAAACCAGAAAUGAAGAAUUAGAGGCUGCGAACCUUCGGUGGCAAGAUAAAUUCUUCAACACGCCAUCAGAGGCAGAACUUCAGUCUAAGCUUCCAUGCCCAGUAAAAAUUAAUCUUGUGUCCAAAGAUUUGUUUUCAGAAAAGACGGUUAGUAUGAGAAAAAGUUUUCAACUGCAUGUCAUUUUAAAAACUGCUCUCUCUCUAGAUUUUCCUUUCUUUCCACUCCCUUCAGCUUUCCUCUCAUAUGAAAGAAGUCUUGGUUGUAAAAAAGUAGGAACAGAAGGAGAGCAGUUUCACGUAAAUCAGGUUUCAAGUUGAGUUUUGAUCGGAUUCAUAUUCUUCUAAUUUACAAAGCUCUGAUUUAUUUAAGUUUAUUGUUAAAAUCAGUCUCAUUUAGGCAAAUUUUAUUGUAUGCGCAGCCAUUGGCAGAGUAAUUUGAGGGAAUAGCAACAGAUAAAUACUAUAAAAUCAGUGUGCCUAGGAGCCAUUUCUUUCCAUAGAGCAAUGAUUUUUCAUCAUUCUCAGACUUAAAAUGCUUUCUAACCAAAUAAAGAAUUCAUGUUCAGUAUACAUCUUACCAAAAUGGUUUUUUUCCAGAGAGAAAAAAAAUUCAAUAGCCUAAUUAUUUAACUUUUAAACUAUGGUAGUGGCCUAAUUUUAAUAAAAGGUUUUCUUUUCUUUUUCUAUAGGUUGAUAAAAAGAAAGAAAUCACUAAGCCGCCAGCAACACAAAAAAGAGCAAGGUGUACACCACAGAAAUCACCUGUGAAAGUGUGUACAAGUCCAAGAAAUGUCAUCUGGUCAGUUAACACCAGCCCCAUCAGCACUGUGCAUCCUACUCAUAAUACACCAGUAAAGCAUGUGUCUCAACCCUCAUGCGUAGAAACUGCUGCCAAGGUAAAAGUAGUUUUUUGUUGAAUUAUACAUAUUGUAGUUUUGAUACAUAUAAGAAGGUGAUUCGAUGGACCCUAUAUUUUGUGUCAGAAAGACGUUGAAUCUAUUGCAUUCUUUAUUGGUUCCAUUUUUUUUCAGCUACUCUCAUUUUUCUCGAAAUUUGAGUUCGCAUUUCGGUUGUCGCCAAAAUUAAAGAACUCACUCAUCAAAUUUGACGAAGAAAUUCAGCGUAAUUAAAGCAGGGAUUUUUUAGAGGAAAAAUAUCGCAUCAGAGUGCAGUUUUGAUAUUAGUAUCGAAUGCAAUAUCUCUCCUCUCAGAAAACCCUGGCUUUAUUACAUUGAAUUUGUUUGUAAAAUUUGGUGAGAGCAUUUUUUAGUCUCUUGUCAACAGAUGAACAGAGAUGCAAUCUCCAAAUGCGAGGAAAAUGACAAGUAGCUGAAAAAAUGGAACUAGGUAAUCAAUGCGAUAAAUGGGACGUUGCUCUGACACAAAAUAUGGCGUUGAUGGAAUUACCUGAAACUUAAAACCUACCACAUUUAAGUUAUGGUUGUUUAUUCUCUUUUCUGUAGAAAUAUUUUUUUUAUUGUUUUUAUUUUUAUUUUUUUUCCCCCACGGGGACCUUUUAGUCACCAAAAAUUAAUUUCCUUUGGACAUUUUUUCUCAGGCAACGGUUUUGAAACAAUCUGAAGGAGAAGAAAGGAAAGAAAAAGAAGAAGAACCAAAAGUAGCAGGAAAGGAACGGAAAGAGGAAGAAGAACCGAAAGUAGCAGGAAAGGAACUGAAAGAAGAAGAACAGAAAGAAGUAGGAGAGGAGCAGAGAGAGGAAGACAAAGAAGCAGGAGAGGAACAGGAAGAAGAAGAGGUACAUCAGCUAUUCAGUAUUACUCAGAAUGCAUUAUUCCAUACUGACACACUACAGAUGAUGUUGAGUGAAUGCUGAGCAUUAACAAAAUGAAAGUAAAUAAUUAAUUUUAAGAAAAAAGAAUUGCAUCAAAAAUCAAAUUCUUACAAAAAAGAGAAAGUUAGCCUUUGGCCAAUUAAUGAUUUUUGCCUUUAUUCAAUUGAGCCCUUUUUGAUAACGCAUGCCUGUCAGCGGAACAUGCAGCCCUAAAUAAUUUUGUUUUUAUCAUUUUUAGUGCCAACAUGUUAAUAAAGUAAAUUUUCCUAAGGUUAUUAAGCUUCUCAUUGGGUUUUAAAAUGGUUUUUUCACAUUUUCAUUGAGUUCUCUGAAAUUGCAGUGCAUUUUAUGUUGCAUUUUUGGUCCUUCUUUUCUUUUGCAGGUAAUGAUUUAAAUUUAUAAAUAUGUAAUGCAUCUGCACUACUUUUUUUCUUUUUUUAUUUAACCUCAGAAGAGGGAGCACUUCCUGGUAGAAGCAUAGGCCACUGUGCAGAGUCACUACACAAUUAUCUGAUUAUAAAUUCGUUAAACUUUAAUAUAGAAUUAGCUGGAAAAGAAAUUAAAACUGAGGCAUUGAUGGAUUAAAAACUAAGAAACUGCUAGAACCAUUUAAUUAAUCGAUGUUAAGACAUGACCUGAUGAUGAUUGACCUAUUUAUAACUACGGACUUCUCCUUUAGUUUACUAAAUUGAUUCUAUUUAAUAUCAUCCUUUUAUUGUAGGUUGAAGAAAUUGAUUUUACCUUGACGCCAAGGAAGGAAAAAAUGUCCUACAAUGGUGUCAGAAAAGGCAAGAGAGGCGAUUCAGUUUUCGCGAAAAAUCUUGCUACAGCCAUUUUUGGUGUUGAUACGCUCGUUAGAAGCAGUGUCACUGGGCAAGCCGCCAAAGGUGGCAAGAAAAAGAAUACCACCGAUAAUACUGCAAGACCUGCCCUCUCCAAAGCAGGUCUCAAGAUCUUGGAAGGUGAGAAUUUCUGUCACAUUUUUAUUUUAAUUGAUAUAGAAAUAGCAAUAUAGAAUAUUCGCAAACAACAUUCAGUAUUAAUUAAUAGGUUUCAAGUUAACAGUCAAAAAUUUUCCACUCAUAUCUGCUAAUUAUUUUUUUAUUUCCUUUCACCCUUUGCUUGUUAGUCAGAUAUUGAUGAAUAAGUGGUAAACCAGGUAUCUCGGUAUCCGGGUUUCAAAAUUUCUGGUUCUUUUUUAUUUUUGUGGAGGGGAACUGCACCUUAUAGUUUGAGAUUUACAGACUCAGACCAGAAUAUUCUGCUAAGAAAGAAAAACAUAUGAAAGAAGUUUUUAAGAAACAAUGACUACUACUCUUCCAAAUGAAAAAUAGAGUAUGACAGGGAGUCUGCAACAAGGCAAACGAAGAUACAUGGUUUCGCACUUAGGUGUUUAAAAUAUUGCAAUGCAAGCAGAUACCUCACUUUUUGCUGUUUUUUGCCCAAAUUUUGCCAGUUGGAAAAUAAAAGAAAUAAACGAAUGUAAAAGUUACUGAGCCUCUUGGUCUUUGAAAUAUGAAGUUCAUAUGUCAUAAACAAUUGGAUCUAUAACAAACUUUUCCGUGGAGAAAAGUAUGAUUCAAAUUUGAUUCAACAGUAGAGUAGAUAAGUGUUCUGGGUAGGAAACAACAUCUCAUAUGCCUCUUAAACAAAACUAAAUGCUUCGUCUUUUCUUUGUUGCAGAUGCUUUUGAAAGAAGGAUUAAAAAGGAAGACCCUGGCGCAGGGGAUGAUGAAUUGAAGGCCAGGAAAAAAAUAAUCAAAGGAGCGAUCGCUGACCGCAUAAAAUAUCUCCGAGCUGGCGACAGCUAAGUGCACGAUCAUUUUAUUCAUUUAUUGUUUUGUGAUUUACCAUUCAUUUAUUUUAAUUAAUUCAUUUAUUUGUAAGUUUAAUUUUUGUUGAAGACUGAAAAGUAUGUAAAAGUAUAAAAGUACUGAAAAGUAAAAGUAUAUUUUUUGUUGAAGACUAAAAAGUAAAAGUAUAUUUUUUGUUGAAGACUGAAAAGUUUAAAGUAUAUUUUUUGUUGAAGAGUGAAAAGUAAAAGUAUAUUUUUUGUUUAAGACUGAAAAGUAAAAGUAUAUU